This 72-nucleotide transfer RNA is filed under the name Schistosoma mansoni. The record is from RNAcentral. Lineage: Eukaryota; Metazoa; Platyhelminthes; Trematoda; Strigeidida; Schistosomatidae.
GCCAUGUAAUAUUUUGAUGUUGGGCUCUAGCAUGUAGUCGUCAGGCCCUGUGUUCGAAUCUCGCGAGAGCGG